GGGACUGUGUGGACAGGCAAACACUUCAAACAAACAAAGACCACAACCGAAUGAAUGGCGGGUAAGUUUGUGACGAAGUGCGAAAAGAUGUGGGGGACUCCACUUGCUAGUUCUGUGUACACAAGUCCUAUCCCAGGCACCCUUACAAGUCCUAAACUGGGGCCAAGGCUAAGAAUCCAUGCCAUUGAAACCUUAGUGUGCAUCUCAAUUUCAUAACGUUUAGCUGUACCAUAAUGCCAAAUGUACAUGAUGAUGAAAAAUGCUGUUGCUAUAACCAAGGGGACCCACCCAC
Molecule: unclassified non-coding RNA, 292 nt
Filed under: Hevea brasiliensis (rubber tree)
Lineage: Eukaryota; Viridiplantae; Streptophyta; Magnoliopsida; Malpighiales; Euphorbiaceae
Source: RNAcentral